CCGACAAUAAAUCCUCCCACGUGAAGGCGGGGACGCUCUGUGGCAGCGUGUUGAUCCAGCUGUACGAUCAUUGUGGGAUAUGACGAUGAUGAGCUUAAGUUAUACAUGGAUGCGUUUCUGUAUCUUCAUUGAUAGAACUUUAUCUGCUGUGACUCGUUUAAAUCAAAGCAUGUUAAAAACUACAGCCGCAAACGCGUCAUCAUCACACGCCGCAUCCCAAUAAAUUUGACUUUAUUUACAGACGUUUAAGAUGAAUUCAACUGUCCCAACCUUUUAAUCGCUCCCGACUCGUAGACACACAGCAGCAGCACAUUCCUGCACCCAAACACUCCAACGUGACGCGCCGCAGGAGCGCCUCGCCCCAAUGCGUCCUUAGAGAUGACAAGGACUCUUAUUUUGGAGGGACGCUAUGAACAAACGCAAGUGGCAAAGAAGAAAACAAAAAAAAACAAGAACGGGUUCGGUGAGAUCUGAGCACGUGCCGCUCCCAUCAAACAUGGGAGAGAUUUGCAAGAUACCGUCCUUGUUUAAUAGGUGUCACGUCAGCUUGGAAACAUUAGGGAACAGGCGGCCAGGAGAGACUUCUUUUUCCAUCUGCGAGGCUCCAGACCAGCAAAGCUCGCGCCAGUGGAAUCCGGCGAAGCUUGGACGGGGCCCCUCGCGUGAUGCGGCGCCCAAAUAAGCCCUCCGAAACCCGGAAGGUGGCAGGAGUUUGGCGAGGGAGCGAAAGGGAGGGAGACGAGGGAGGAAACGGGGGACGAGGCGCGGAGGAGAAGAUGAGACGAGAGCAAUUAGAUUAAGUGUUGAAAUUAUGAGUGUCAUGAUGUGGAGUUAUGAGGAGAUGGAAUGAUGGUAUUUAGAACGUGAGCGAGAUGUUUCCCCUUCUUGAUUUACUGGCGUGAAUGGAACAUGAAGAAGAAGAAGAAGAAAAAAAAAGAAGAAGAAGAUAUGGUUUUGAAUAGUUUUCAUGAAAUACUCAAGAAAACAGUUAUUGUGGUUUUGAGUUUAGCAUCAGCUGUUAUUGUUUACUGUUUACACAAACUUCUCUAUCUCUGCUGAAGUUCAAAAGUUUGACUGAAUCAAGCCUGUUAUUUCAAAACUAUAAUCGGAUUAUGUUGUAAUCGCAGCGAACUUACAAACAG
This 1142-nucleotide long non-coding RNA is filed under the name Betta splendens (Siamese fighting fish). Its description in RNAcentral is "lncRNA (ENSBSLG00000021989.1)". The record is from RNAcentral. Lineage: Eukaryota; Metazoa; Chordata; Actinopteri; Anabantiformes; Osphronemidae.